RNAcentral lists this ribosomal RNA (1444 nucleotides) under uncultured organism. Its description in RNAcentral is "SSU rRNA". It matches the Rfam family "Bacterial small subunit ribosomal RNA". The record is from RNAcentral.
UGCUACAGGCUUAACACAUGCAAGUCGAGGGGCAGCAUGGUCUUAGCUUGCUAAGGCCGAUGGCGACCGGCGCACGGGUGAGUAACGCGUAUCCAACCUGCCUUACACUCUUGGACAGCCUUCUGAAAGGGAGAUUAAUACAAGAUGUUAUCAUGAGUAAGCAUUUUCACAUGAUUAAAGGUUUACCGGUGUAAGAUGGGGAUGCGUUCCAUUAGAUAGUAGGCGGGGUAACGGCCCACCUAGUCUUCGAUGGAUAGGGGUUCUGAGAGGAAGGUCCCCCACAUUGGAACUGAGACACGGUCCAAACUCCUACGGGAGGCAGCAGUGAGGAAUAUUGGUCAAUGGACGAGAGUCUGAACCAGCCAAGUAGCGUGAAGGAUGAAGGUUCUAUGGAUUGUAAACUUCUUUUAUACGGGAAUAAACGGAUCCACGUGUGGAUUUUUGCAUGUACCGUAUGAAUAAGGAUCGGCUAACUCCGUGCCAGCAGCCGCGGUAAUACGGAGGAUCCGAGCGUUAUCCGGAUUUAUUGGGUUUAAAGGGAGCGUAGAUGGGUUGUUAAGUCAGUUGUGAAAGUUUGCGGCUCAACCGUAAAAUUGCAAUUGAUACUGGCAGUCUUGAGUACAGUUGAGGUAGGCGGAAUUCGUGGUGUAGCGGUGAAAUGCUUAGAUAUCACGAAGAACUCCGAUUGCGAAGGCAGCUUACUAACCUGUAACUGACAUUGAUGCUCGAAAGUGUGGGUAUCAAACAGGAUUAGAUACCCUGGUAGUCCACACGGUAAACGAUGAAUACUCGCUGUAGGCGAUAUACAGUCUGCGGCCAAGCGAAAGCAUUAAGUAUUCCACCUGGGGAGUACGCCGGCAACGGUGAAACUCAAAGGAAUUGACGGGGGCCCGCACAAGCGGAGGAACAUGUGGUUUAAUUCGAUGAUACGCGAGGAACCUUACCCGGGCUUAAAUUGCAACCGAAUAUGGCGGAAACGCUAUAGCUAGCAAUAGCGGUUGUGAAGGUGCUGCAUGGUUGUCGUCAGCUCGUGCCGUGAGGUGUCGGCUUAAGUGCCAUAACGAGCGCAACCCUUGCCGAUAGUUACUAACAGGUCAUGCUGAGGACUCUGUCGGGACUGCCAUCGUAAGAUGUGAGGAAGGUGGGGAUGACGUCAAAUCAGCACGGCCCUUACGUCCGGGGCUACACACGUGUUACAAUGGGGGGUACAGAGGGCUGCUACCACGCAAGUGGAUGCCAAUCCCAAAAACCUCUCUCAGUUCGGAUUGAAGUCUGCAACCCGACUUCAUGAAGCUGGAUUCGCUAGUAAUCGCGCAUCAGCCACGGCGCGGUGAAUACGUUCCCGGGCCUUGUACACACCGCCCGUCAAGCCAUGGGAGCCGGGGGUACCUGAAGUGCGUAACCGCAAGGAGCGCCCUAGGGUAAAACUGGUGACUGGGGCUAA